RNAcentral lists this ribosomal RNA (120 nucleotides) under Pteropus alecto (black flying fox). Lineage: Eukaryota; Metazoa; Chordata; Mammalia; Chiroptera; Pteropodidae. The record is from RNAcentral.
GUCUAUGGCCAUGCUACCCUAAACAAACCCAAUCACAUUCUGAUCUUGGAAGCUAAGCAAGGUCGGGCCUGGUUAGUACGUGGAUGGGAGACCACCUAGGAAGACCAGAUGCUGUAGGCG